CAACAUCAAGACACAUUCCAAAGCUCCCUGAAAGUCAUUUACAGAAUAGUUGUGGUGUUUAUAUCUUCAUUUUUACCAAAGAACGUCCUGCCAGUGUUUUAAUCGUAAGGCAUUUGUGAGUGGUAAGUUAUUAUAUAUUUUUUUCUUGAAGAACAUGUUUUUUUUAAAGAAAAUUGUAUGAAAGAUAAAAAAUUAAUUAAAUAGAUGUAUAUUCUACUGUACAGAUAUCUUCAUUUCUAAAUUGCAGAGAAAUAAACAAUGCAACUGCAGAAGAAUGAUAUUUAUGCCAAAACUAUUUUAAUACUUUGAGCAUUCCUUUAAGGUUCUAUCUGCUGUCUUUAUUCUUAAAAUGUAAAAAAAAAUUCAUUUUAGUGAUCGUGGUUUGUUGUUUUACCUGUAUAGGGAUCAAUCUGAACAUGUUUCCUAAAAGGACAGUGUACCCACCAAAAAACUUUAGUUUAAUGAAGCAGUUUUGGUUUAUAGAUAAUUUCCUUGCUUUCUCAUUGCUCACGUCCAUGCUGUUUAUGCAGCCCAAGCCACAUCUCCACUGGCUGUGACUCAUACAUAAAAAUAUUUCAGCACUGUUACAGCAGAUUUUUUUAUUACAUGCUCUACAAUAGAAGUUUAAUAACACACAUGAGACUAUUGGAGGCUGCAGCAGCUUAUUAAUCCCUUAAAGGAACACUAUAGUCACCUAAAUUACUUUAGCUAAAUAAAGCAGUUUUAGUGUAUAGAUCAUUCCCCUGCAAUUCCACUGCUCAAUUCACUGUCAUUUAGGAGUUAAAUCACUUUGUUUCAGUUUAUGCAGCCCUAGCCACACCUCCCCUGGCUAUGAUUGACAGAGCCUGCAUGAAAAAAAAACUGGUUUCACUUUCAAACAGAUGUAAUUUACCUUAAAUAAUUGUAUCUCAAUCUCUAAAUUGAACUUUAAUCACAUACAGGAGGCUCUUGCAGGGUCUAGCAAGCUAUUAACAUAGCAGGGGAUAAGAAAAUCUUAAUUAAACAGAACUUGCAAUAAAGAAAGCCUAAAUAGGGCUCUCUUUACAGGAAGUGUUUAUGGAAGGCUGUGCAAGUCACAUGCAGGGAGGUGUGACUAGGGUUCAUAAACAAAGGGAUUUAACUCCUAAAUGGCAGAGGAUUGAGCAGUGAGGCUGCAGGGGCAUGUUCUAUACACCAAAACUGCUUUGUUAAGCUAAAGUUGUUCAGGUGACUAUAGUGUCCCUUUAAGGUUGUUAGUUUUUUUUUACUGUGUUAGAUAAGAUGGACUUAAAAGCAUGUAGGCGAGCAUAGAAUGCCCUGCAGAUUUGGUGUGCAGUGUUAAAUCCCUGCUCACACCAGGGAUCCCCAGGUACUAAUUGAUACUUUGAGUUCCACUCUGUUUGCUUGGGCCAAUUUUAGUGGCCUCAUACUAUAAAAUGGGCUAUUUGAAAUGCUGGAAGCCAGUGCUCCCAAUAUCCCUUUAAAUGUAGAGAGGGCAUUUCCAGUUGAGGAUUUACCAUAUGCCCUUCAUUGCAGAGCUGUAUUUGUGAGCAGUGUUUUUUUUUUGUUUUUUUUAAUGUAAGCAUGUUUUGUGUGUUUGAAUGUACAUAUCUGUGUGUAGUUGGCAUCUGAAUGUAGUUGCAUGCUUGUAUGCACUGUUGCCAUUUGGAAGUAAUGGUUUAAUGUUUAGUGUUUGUGUUUGAAUUUGUAUGUAUAGUUGGCAUGUGAUUGAUGGGAUGCAUGCACAUAUACACAUACACUGCCCCACACAUACACUCUGAAACACACACAGAUACACACACUGACACAUACACACAUAGAUACAAACAUACAUACUUACAGAUACACACAGAUACAUGCAUACACACUGACACACAGAUGCACACAUAUGCACACACAGAUGCACACAUUUAAACACAAACUCAGAUAACACAUAUACACAUGCACACAGAUAAAACAUACACACAUUUACACACAGAUAACACAUACACAUACAUAUAUCACACACACACAUAUACACACUUACAGACAUAGAUCCCAAUUUACAUAAUUUUAGCCACCCCUGCUUCCAUAUAUUUUAGUGCAGGAGGGGGGCAUUUCUGCGGUCUGGUGGCAUCUGGAGUCUGGAAGGAUUAUGGUCCAUGCUCUCCCUCCUCUCUAUUGUCCUCCUCUCUCGCUCUUUCAUGCUACUCUUUGAUAAGAUGGGAGGAAGUGCAAUGUACAGCACCAUGUUUUUUUGUUUGUUUUUUUAAAAUAUCUUUCUAUUUAUUCAGAUUUUCGUAAUUUAUACAAUACAUUCUAUCAUUUGCUUAUACAAUCACUUCAUUAACAAAUUACAUAAAAAUUUCACCAGUCAAAUAUAUGUUUCUGACAAUAAAGAAAGUUACAAAGCAUUAUGUAUGCUAUGUAUACUAUAUUUGUACCAAUAAUUCUGGUCUAGUUCUAGCAGUUAAAAAGGCAUUUCCCAUAAUCCUACGCUUCUUUUUUUUACAUAUUAUUGUGACAAUUAUUAGUUGCAAUAUUAAUUUUUGAAGUCUAUGCCUAUACGGCCUGUUUUCCUCUUAUAAUAGAAGUUUAGAACCUACUUUCUUAUCACUUGGAAUAUUUCCUUUACCUAUGUAACACCUCCCCAUUCCUACUCCCCCUCUGGCAUUAUAAACUAUGGGAUUGUUUAAUUAUGUACAAUCUGAGUUUAACUAUUUAGUAUCUUUGGCCAUUCUGACCAGAUGUUUUUGUGUACAUUAUUCUUUCCGAUUUUCCUAUAAAAACCUUCUUCCAUAUGACAUUGAUAAUUAAUUUGAUGGAUUAUUGCUAACCAUGUUGGUAAAAAUGGAUUCUUCCAGUUUCUUGCAAUAGCUAAUUUAGUAGCCAUAAAAAUAUGAAUUAAUAAUAUUUUAUGAUUUUGUCUGCCUAAUGGAAGAUCAAUCUGGAAUAGAAAGGUUUGAGGGGAUAAGGUUAAGAUCUGAGCGCAAAGCUUUGAAACUACUUUAGAAAGUGUAUUUUUUAAAUCGGAAAGUUUUUCACAAUCCCACCACGUGGUAUAAAUUGCUUUCAGAGUGUUUACAUCUCCAACAAUUCUCAGAAUAGUCAGUUUUAAUUUUUUUAUUCUACUUGGAGACAUAUAGCUCCAAUGAAUUAUUUUAAAAUGUUUCAUGUAAGGUUAGACUAUGAAUAGAUUUCUUAGCUUGAAUUAGUGCCUCCAAGUUUCCUGUGAGAAACAUUUUUUCAUAUCUCUUUCCCAUUUAAUUAUAGAUUUUUAGAGGUACACAGUGUUUUGAGAGCUGUGUAGUUCUAGAAAUAAUUUAUUUUUAGUUUUAUUAUUCAUAUAGUUCUCAAACUCAGGAGCUUCUUUUAUUUAAUUAUUUUUUAUUAAAUGGUUAAUCCUAAUAUAAUUAAACAAUUCACCUUUAGGUAAUCCAAAUUGAGAUUUGUAUUCACUAAAGGGUUUUAAAUUCCCUUGUGGAGUGAUUUGAGAUAUUUUAUGAAUAUGACCCUUCAGCAAAUUUGUUAAAUCCAUGUCAUAAGUAUAAUAUUAUAGUACCUCUAUUGGACAGGAGUCGGGUAGUAUGUUUUUGAUCCCCAGCUUAUUUUUAAACAUUUUGAUAGAUUGAAUUAUAUUUUCAACUAUAAUAUUAGAAGUUGUAACCCUCUUAUAUUGUUUGUCACCUAUCCAGAUUAAAUCAUAUAGAGAUGCUUUAAGAUGUGAGAACUCUUCCAUUAUUUUCCAACUUGGGUUGUCAUAUAUAUUUUGUUCCAUUUUAAAGAAUGAGAAAACAUAAUUAUGUAAUGUAAUUAUAUUAAAUCCGGAAAAUUUAUUACAAGAUUAUCUAUUUUCUUAGUUAAAACUUUGUUUGCAAUUCUGGGAAUUUUCUCUUUACACAAAAUUCAAAAUUGCUUUUUUAAAUUGCAAAAAUAAAAAAAGGGUACUCUGAGCGGUAUUGAUCGAAAUAGGUACACUAAUUUUGGUACUACAUAGGCAGAUAUUGUAUUUAAUCGUCCUAUCCAUGUAAUCUGCAAUCCCUUCUAUUUUUGAAAAUUACCUUUAAAUGAUGCAAGUAGUGAUGUACCGAACGAUUCGCUGGCGAACGGUUCCUGGAGAACAUAGCAUGUUCGCGUUCGCCACGGCGGGCGAACAUAUGCGCGGUUCGACCCGCCCCCUAUUCGUCAUCAUUGAGUAAACUUUGACCCUGUACCUCACAGUCAGCAGACACAUUCCAGCCAAUUAGCAGCACACCCUCCCUAGCAGACCCUCCCACCUCCUAGAAGGCAUCCAUUUUAGAUUAAUUCUCAAGCUGCAUGCUUUAGUAAGAGGAGGGAAAGUGUAGCUGCUGUUCAUUAGAUAGGGAAAAGCAUAGCUAGGUUAGGGUUAGGGUAUGCUUUUUAAAAAAAAAAAAUUUCUAUGUAAUGUAAUUGCACUUAGUUGUCUGCCACUGCUGCCAGCUUCUGUGUCAGGCUCACAGUGCAUACUGUGCCCAUUUCCCCAGUCAGUGCCACCAAUUACAUCUGGUGUCACAAUAGCUUGGAUUUAAAAACAAAAAACUUUUUUCACUGUUAUAGAUUGAAUAGCAGUCAGUUGUNNNNNNNNNNNNNNNNNNNNNNNNNNNNNNNNNNNNNNNNNNNNNNNNNNNNNNNNNNNNNNNNNNNNNNNNNNNNNNNNNNNNNNNNNNNNNNNNNNNNGGUGACUGACGUGCUCGUACGUGAAUAUGGAGAGUUUGCCCGUGAAGUCGGUGGGCGAAGUGGUCUAGAUGUGAGGACCAAUUUUUGAGCGUAAGGACGUGUGACGUAGAGUGAACUAUGACCCUGUUUGGGGGUGUUGUGCUUGAUGGCGAGUUCGAUGGCCUUGUCCACUGAGAGAGGAGAUGGUUAGGAAUCGUGAUCGAAUUGAGGCCGUAGUGUAGGCCUUGUGACCUGUUGGCCUGUCGGGUGCAUGUCUGACAGGGUGACUAUAUAAAGGGAAAAAGGCGGAAAACGGGAUACUUACUUCGGUAAGCGAGUUUUUGCAUGAUAGCGUUUUUGUGUGUGUGACUCGUGUGGAAGGGGGUCUGGCCGUCGGCACUCGUGGGUGUGCUUUGCCAGACCCCUUGCUAGACCACUAGAACAGUUUGAUUGUGAUGGAGGGAGGGGGGGGGCUGGAGGCGGCAUUGAUGCUGAAAAAUUGGGGGGGGGGUGGCUGGUGUAUACUGGAGUAACUUCCCUGCCCUUGAUCUGCAAUACUGUUUAUUUAUUUCAAUUCUUUUAACCUUUUUUUUUUUCUCUUGGGGGGGUGCUGGUGAAACUUGCCAAACCUCCCAGCUACCCCCCCCUGCGAGACCGGCAACUACAGGGGUACGUGACCGGAAGAGUGGGGGUGGGGGUGGGGGGGUGCUGGUGAAACUUGCCAAACCUCCCAGCUACCCCCCCCCCCUGUGAGAUUGGUUUCUACAGGGGGCACGUGACCGGAAGAGACGGUUGCGGACUGGCGGGAGCUUAGCGUCGUCUGGUGGCUAGUGGUCCUAGAGGACCCGACUGGCUGAGUGAUGUGGGGUAGGGAGACACUGCGGUCGUGGGGAGGCUGCUGCCUGAGCGUGCUAGGAGUACUUACUCUGUUCAAUGGAGGUGCUGCUGGACCGGAACCGGAAGUGAGUCAGAAACGACCUGGGCCCUGAUUUAGAGGUAGGACUGAGUAUAAAUAGGCCGGUUAACCCCUCCCACAACUACAGGCUCCGCCUUCACAUAUAUAUAUGAGACUGGAUCUCCAGAAGGAUAUUGAUACUUUAGAGAGAGUUCAGAGAAAGGCUACUAAACUGGAUUGCAGGAUAAAACUUACAAGGAAAGGUUAAAGGAUCUUAACAUAUAACAUAUAGGGUAAGAUAUGAGGAAAAAUGAGAGAGGGGGGAUACGAUAGAAACAUUUAAAUACAUAAAGGGAAUCAAAACAGUAAAGGAGGAGACUAUAUUUAAAAGAAAAAAAACUACCACAACAAGAGGACAUAGUCUUAAAUUAGAGGGGCAAAAGUCCCAGACUAACUGAUGAUAUCUGUACAGUUCUGCAAGUCAGCACUGCACAGAGCUAUUCAAACUAAUUGAUAAAACCACAUUUUUUUUCUGGGAUGUAGAUAGCUUUGGGGAGACCCUCCAGGGUCUGAAUAGACCAUGACAGUGUCUCCAAGCUUGUCUUCAGCCAAGUGGGAUCAGGGCUGGGUUUUGCCAGUUGUCAGCACUGAUCUCUCUAUAAUCGGCUGUGAACCAGGCUUUAAUCAGAUUUACACUUAGUGUAAUUCCGAAACAGUAGAUGGUAGCAACACACCACCAUAUAUAAUUUGUUGAAUAGUAAAUCCCAUUUAUAAUAUUAGGAUCAAUAUUAUUAGUGGGUUAACUUUAGGGUUAGGAUUUGGGUUAGUGGUGGUGUUAGUGAAGGGUUAGGAUUCAAUUUAGAGGUAAAAAUAGGAAAGGAUUACACUUGGGUAGUGUUAGGGUAGGGUUAGGGUUAGAAUAGGGUUAGUGUAAGGUAAGGGUUACUUCUAGGUAUGUAUUAAUGAUGCUUUAGGAUUAAAUAUAUUGUAGGGGUGAGGUUAAGGGUAAGAUUAGGUAGGCAUACAGUUAGAGUUAGUGUAAGCAUUAAUGAGAGGUAUAGCAUUCUUUCGGUCCUUUAAAUAAUUUGAUAUACACCUGGAGAGAAGAUGCAGUGGGUAAACAUAGAAAAUAGUAUAAUAUCCAAGGACACAUUAGCUGAACUCCUCUGGACCCCGAAACACUUGAGACCUAAGACGCCCAAUCUACUGCCAAUGACCUUACUUGCCCUGCACAUAUGGGACAUUUUCUGAAACACUAAUAAAGCAACUCAAACACAAUUCCUCCCGCUAGCCAUGGAGACCGUAUAACCAUGGCUAGCCUUACAACUAUAAAAAGAGUGGGGAAUAUGCAUAUCAAAGACCUCUGCUGCCAAACAACUAUAUUACUGUUCCCAGACUUGCAAUUGCAGUAUGACCUUCCCAAUUCCUACAUUUAUCCAUACCUACAACUAAAAAGUAUAAUCUCUGCAAAAGUAAAUAUAGGUGCUUCACUCAAGACCCAAACAAAAUAUUUGCCAGUUCUGUAUUAUAGAUGUUGUCCUAGCCCCACCAAGCCUAAAACCCUCUUCUAUGUUAUAAAGCCUUAUUAGAUAGCAUGCCAACAAAACCCUUCUCAUAUAAGACACAAUGGCAGCAGAGUUUUAAGGUCACUUCAGACUCACAAUGGCUCCAAGUCCUAAAUGCUUUAAAAGGGAUAACCUCUUGCUACUCCCAUAUGGAGGCACAUAAGAAACUAAUGUACUGCUGGUAUUGCACACCCAACCGACUGUGACAGACCGCCUGGCACCCUGACCAGGUGCCUCUGCCAAUCGAUGCUCACUAGUGCUCACUGAGUACUUCCAGCACUCCACCAGACACCAUCAGCACUGUAUUCCCCACGUCCAGUGUUACAGCUUGGCUGGGAACUCGCCAUCCUCCACGCACCCUGGACCCAAAACCAGGAUCCAGCUUCCAGUGGGUGAAACUCUCCUACUCCAGAGAGUGUAGCAGGCUGCUCUUAAAAGAGCAAGUGAUUAUAGCACUCCAAAGACCAAUCCCAUAAGUAGGGAUUAUAGCAGGUAUAGCUGUUCCCUCAAUAAUGAGACAAGGGGGCUGUGUUGAGGGUAAGCACACAACUGGCCUUCUAUGCAAGUCCCCAAGCAAGGGGCACUCCCACCUGGACCUUGUGGGGAACUGCAGCACAAAGUCACAGAUCAAUGACAAAGGUGUUUAAAUACAUGACACUCCCAUAUACAAUCAUACACUCCCUCCACUAUGCCUGGGAGAUAAUUGAGUCAGAUACUGUAGUAACUCACUUAUAUCCAGGCACAAAAAUACACAAGUUUUAUAAAACCCCAAAAGUAUCUCCAAAAACUCAUGGAAACCCCAUAAAGUUAUAGCCCCUGUUAGCCCCGACCUGGGUGAACAACAUAUCCAAAAAUCACCCAGAUCGGUUCAGGGGUUUGGGAUUUCCAUGGAGGUCUUAGUUAGACCGACCGCACAAGAAAUUACUGUCUGAAAAGAGUUCCAUGAAAUCAGGCUGUGCGGUUGGUCUAUUUUGGGGAUACAAAACACAGUGCAAAAUACUGAACGUAGCAGUUCAUGGGUACAGUCAGUUUAUGUCUCUUGUUCGAGAGCUUGCUCCAACCAAACGCCAUUCAAUUCCAAUACGUAUAGCCGAACAUUAAUGGAAGGUAUGUCUUUAGCGGUGUUUGCGCCGUGUCCGAUUUGAGUUCCAUGCACUCAACGACCAAACACGGCUAAAGAUGGCCACCGCCACGUGUUCGUAUGUCGAACAGCAACCACCCAGCCGAUAGCCAAUUAAGUUGCGGUUUCAUGUGUAUCAGGCAGGUUGAACACUCAACUUGCGGGCGGUCCGACUGUUCGGUAGUUUGUUCGAUAUAUGAACACAAACCCCUAAUCUGUUCGGUAAGUUCAGUAUACCAAACCAUAUGAGUCCAAAAGGCACGAACAGUGCCUUUAACCAGAGUUUAUCACAGGGACCAUAGUCACAGGGCAGGAGGCUGUCAAACAGGCUCCUCCAAAAGCCUGUGGUGAGGUUAACCACACCGACAUCAUAAAAUCUAUCCAUCUGUGCGACCGAACUGUUGGAGGUGUUGGGAAACUUAGGGUAAUAUGUUACAAAUUUGGUACAAUUGCCAGACAAUAAAGCCAAUCUGGGAUGAGGUACAGGAAAUAUUACAAGAAUUUAAAAUCCUAAAAGAGUCCAUCAGCCCAUAGGCCUGUUUCUGUUAUAUCCGAUAACCUGUCCAAAACAAGACAAACAAAUAGCAGCUACAGUGAUCUUAGCAGGUAGGAACCUAAUAGCGUUGCAUUGGAAAAAGCAAAACUGCCCUUCGUUGACAAAGCUCCACGCAAAAAAUCCAACAAUAUUAUCUCUUUGAGAAGUUCACCUCAGCAACUCAUAUAAAAGUUAAAAAAUGGGUAUGGAUUCCUCUACAUACAAUAAGCUACAAGGGCAUUUACAUAUUUACACUAUGAAUAAAGACCCAUAUGUGUAGUGGCCAUGUAUAUGGAAUUUGAUCCACAUUGUGUCAGUAGAUGGUUGUAUGAGUUAGAAGUUGGUGUGUGGGUGAGUCUUAAGNNNNNNNNNNNNNNNNNNNNNNNNNNNNNNNNNNNNNNNNNNNNNNNNNNNNNNNNNNNNNNNNNNNNNNNNNNNNNNNNNNNNNNNNNNNNNNNNNNNNUUAUUGUUCCCUUAGUGCUUGCUCAUUGAUUGUUCCACAUAUGCCUAAACCACAUUUAUUUUAUACUAUUGUGAUAAACAUGUUUUUUUUUGCUUAAGCACUUUUAUGAUAUUACUUGCAGCAUUGUUAUUAACACUGUUUAUAAUCUUGGGAACUGACACAUAUAUUAUACAUAACAUUGGAACGCAUAUGCAUUCCAAGGAUGUUUGAACCAAGAGGAUACCUCCUCACAUACAGCUUGAUCAAACCGGAGAUGAUGUAAUUCCGCCGGAAAUAGGAAGAUUUCGAUGCGUUCCAUCAAACGCUUUGCAUUUUCGGCGAAACCGGAAGUGACGGAGACAUUCCGGAAACCGGAAGGAGGCGGUGGAACGCAUAGAUGCGUUCCACUGGAAGAAAAUUACCCGCGAUUUUUAAAUAUUUAAGAACUUAGAGAACAUUACCACCUUAUGCCAACUGAGGAAGCCACAUACCGGCGAAACGCGUUUUGGCAAGUCUACUGGACACUGGGAGGUCUUACCCUUUAUAUUUAUAUCAUUUAUAUUGAUUUUAUAAUUUUUUUGUUAAUAAAUAUUUUUUCCCUGGAAUAUACUCUAUCUCCAUUGCCUGGUAUUGAAAGAAAAAGGAAAAAGAAGCUAUACUCUAACAAGUAUCAUCAAAGAGGUUUGGGGAUCACCCUAUUAAGAUCCAGGUUCUAAUCUAUGGCUCUUCCAUUGUGAGUGCAUUAUAUUUGGUUUUUUCUAUAUAUAUUGUGUAUAAGAAAUAUCUGCACUAUCUUGUACCUCUCUAUCUUUUACAGCAAGAAAGGUAGAAGAGAGGGAAGUACAUUUUAUUAUUAUUGUCACUUGCUCCACCUACUUUUUGUGUAUUAUAGUUAUCGUUUAUUGUUCACUGUGAUCCACAGUCAUCUCAGCCGGCUGGUUGACAAGUCUUCUGUAUAGGGGGGUAUCGUCCGUUCCAGCCUCUGGGUCAGGGGAUCCCUACCCCCCUGUCACCGGUGCCUCUGCUCCCCUCCGGGGGCGACCCCUUCCAUGCCCGGGGUUCUGGGGUGGCACCCACACUACCGCACAACCCCGGGUGGGGCUCUAUAACAUCGCACGAAGCCACCCGCUGCCCUGCUCUGCUCCCCCUAUCCCGGACCCUACCUACCUGAGUCGCUCCCUGCCUUCACAGACCGGGGCGACACAGACGCUCGCGGGACCUGAUAACAUGGCCUCGCACACACCCAAAUACGCACCUGCCCCGAUCAACUUCCUAUCCCUAAACACCAAGGGUCUCAAUUCCCCCGAAAAGAGGUCACACACCCUAUGCCUCUGUCAGAAUGUUAGAGCCCAUGUGGUCUAUUUCCAAGAAAGCCACUUUAAACUUGACUCCGCACCGAAACUCUGUAACCACAUAUAUACCCAGGGAUUUUACAGCCACAACCCAGAUGGGAAAUCCAAGGGGGCAGCAAUAGUCAUGCAUAAAUCCAUACCCUUUGUGGCUGACUUGACCAUGACAGACCACGCAGGCCGAUAUGUGUUCGUCAGGGGUCGAUGAAACCUAUACUUUUGCCAACAUUUACGCUCCACAUAUGCGACAGGACAAAUUCCUGAGGGACGCACUCCGCGCCCUUCACGAGGGCUGUCUGGUUCUAGGGGGGACCUCAAUAUUGCCCUGUACCCGACAGUGGAUGCAUCCAGAGGCCACUCAUCAACACCUCUUCCCACGUUGCUCAAAGUAAGCAAACUCCUCCACCAGUACAGACUUACGGACUGCUGGAGGGUGACACAUCCGACAGACAGGGACUACACUUUCUAUUCGGCCCCAAAUGACUGUUACACACGCAUAGACUUUAUUUUCCUUGCAUACUAUUUCCUACCCAGACUACAGGACUCCGCCAUUGGGGGGACGAUGUGGUUAGACCACGCACCACUCACGAUACAACUAACAUCACCACUAUACAAGCCUAAAACUACUACAUGUCGGCUAAACGAAAAACCUCCUAUCUAACCCGCAGGUGGUCCAAGACGUCCAAUAAACUUGACAAACUACUUCGCCAAGAAUCCACCACAAGACACAUUCCCCUCCUGACAUGAGAGGCUCACAAAUGUGUGAUCCGAGAGAUUCUUAUCUCGCACGAUCCGAGAACACACGAUCCAAGGGAACACACGAUCCGAGAACUAGCCACCAAGAUAGGGAACCUGACACAGGCACACAAACAAACACUGGAUUACACACUCCUAGGGGAACUCACGAAAGCAUGUGAAGAAUUAACACGGGUCCUGCGACAAUCGUACACUAGGGCCCUUCAAUGCACCAGCUAUGCCACAUGCCAGACCAAAUAACCACAGCAGUAAAAUGCUUUUAUACAGACCUAUAUACACACACCCCGAGCUGACCUGAAAUCAGGGGAAUCUCGCAUAAGUUCAUACCUUACUAAAUGCACAAAAGCCAAACUUUCCUCGGACGCAGCGGAAGUCCUGGAGGCACCACUGACUGAGGGGAAACUGGCCCUUGCCAUCAAAACCUCAAAGACGAGCAAAAGCCCAGGCCUGGAAGGCCUCCCUCUCAAAUACUACAAAGCCUUUUCGGCGACCUUGUCCCCCCAAUUUAUCUCGGCCUUCAACUCCAUACCAGAGGGAAAUACAAUCCCUCAGUAGACAUUGGCGGCCAACAUCACCCUGUUACCAAAGGAGGGGGGAGAUGCCGAAUGGUGCACUGGCUACCGGCCCAUCUCGUUGCUUAAUUGCGACCUACGCUUGUUCGCCAAAAUACUAGCAGCGAGGUUGGGUCCGCACAUACCAGACUUGAUCUCCCCUGAUCAGGUAUGAUUCGUCCCACACAGAGAAGCCAGGGACAACACGGUACGAGCCCUGUCCCUGAUACACCAAGCACAAUGCACCUCUGAGGUCCUUCUUCUCCUCUCCACCGAUGCGGAGAAGGCCUUCGACAGGGUAGCGUGGGACUACCUCUUUUCGGUCCUGGAGCACAUUGGCCUGGAGAACUAUAUGCAUCAGUAGAUAGAGUCUCUUUACUCAUCCCCCACGGCUAGGGUGUGCAUGAACGGGGUCGCAUUCCCGGUCAGGAACGGAACCAGGCAAGGCUGCCCCCUAUCACCACUCUUAUUCAUCCUGGCCCUCGAACCCUUCCUACAAGCAGUUAGGGACAACCCAGACAUCACGGGGGUAAUGGUAGGGGCAGACCACCAUAAAAUAGCAGCAUAUGCGGACGAUAUGCUAUUUUUCGUCUCCAACCCAGAAAUCUCCCUCUCAAAUCUCAUGGCAGAAUUUAAGACAUAUGGCCAUAUCACCAACCUCAAGAUCAAUGGCAUUUGGUGCAUUGAAUCAUGUAUACCACAUUGCUGGAUGUACAGGAGUAUGAACCUUAUAAACUAUCUGACUGGCUUUAUUGUUGUGGGUGGAUGUGUUGUCUGUGCAUAUGUGCUGACACAGUUUGCAGCAAAGUUUUUUGCAUUGACUAGUUGUGUUUUCUUUAUUCUUCCCAUCAGUGGGUAGCUUCCUGUAGAUUGAUUUUUGUUAGAGGUUUGGUGGUUGUCUGAAGGCCACAGUGGUUGUUUCAGAGAAAAUGUUUUUCAGAGUCUCAUCUUCUGUUAAAAUUGGUUGUAGGUCUUUAAUAAUUUUCUGUAUUUCCUCAAGAGCUGGGUUGAAGGUGACCACAAGUGACACUGGUGUAGAUAUUUUUUUCUCUCUGUACUGUAGCAGGCUCGUGCGUUGAGUUUUUACAGCAGAGUUGAUUUGUUUGGUAAUAGUCUUUAAUUUGUAGCCUUUCUGUCUCAUAGAAUGGCUAGUACAUUUAGAAGGAAAUUAUGAUCAUUAGGAUAUGUUUCCUAGUGUCCUAUAUUUAUAUCAAAUGGUUGUACUAACACAACAAUUGUUGAGCCAAUCAGAGGAAUGUACCAGUCCAUUAUGUUGGCGCCAAAAAAGAGAGAGAGUGGGCUUGUUAAUUCAUCAAAUUCAAACCCACCAAUCAGAGCUAGUUUGUGGUAAUUAAAUCCGUAACAAAACUAAUAAAACAUAUCAUUAUCUAUUACUAUAGGGGGACUAGCUAAAUCAACUAAAUAGUAAAAGUGUUAGAAGUAAGUAUAUGUUUGAUCGAAAUAACCAAUUUAUUGUGCUUGAUUAACAUAUGCCAUACCCCUUGGGAUUUUAAAAAGAAGGGGAAUUAACCAAAAGAUAAGGGGAGGACACUAAACUAGGUAAACGAAUUAUGAUCGUAUUGAAAAAAUGUCCUAUGGACUAAGAUGAUGAAGAUUAUAAAGAAUUACAGAAGGUCAUACUUUCUCCUUCAAAGAUCGGUGUAAGGACAUUCUCAAAUUUUGGCAGGGACAUUAUUAAUGAUGGAAAUAACGCUAUCCUAAUUCUCUUAUUUCUAUCAUUAAAUGGUUUGAUAGUUCUAUUUUAAUCACGGAUCUCGGCAGACUCUAAACUCAAAGAUUCAUAUUGUAUAAAAAAUAAUAAUAAUAAUAAAUAACUUAUAUCCUAGAUAGUGCUCUUUUGUAUAAACAUCCCUGAUGAGAUGGAAAAUAUUUGCAAAUAUAUGUAAAUGCAAUUUGAGUGAAGCCUGAGAAAGAUGAACCCAUAGCUAAAUCUAUAGUUGGGAUAUAAUAUAUUCAUAGUUUACUCUCUAUAGAGAUAACCAUGGUCAGCUAUGUGGGUGGAGAGGUCUAGUGAAUUGUCUCGCUCCAUUAUUUAUUAUUAACAUAUUUAUCGUUAUAACCAAAAACCAAGGCGCAGAGGGGCACAAUCUACGGGGAAGACCAACAAGCAACGGCACCCGGCCUGAAACACGAAGCGGGUGGGCCUUGGAAAACCCGACCAGCCCCCAAAACACAGAAAUCGGGAGAGAAGAGUGAUAGCCGUAGAGCCACAACCAGUCCAGAGUCACCCAAAGCCUGUUACUGCCCUUUGGGGCCGAGAGCUCGACAUGCAGGAGCACCAGGAGGUUUGCGCCCAAAGAGAAUGGCUAUUGCCAUUAAGCAACCGCGACUCAAGCGAAGGCCCUCUCAUGCAAUUCACAGCAGAGCCGCAGGGGCCGCUGUGCACCUCAUCGACCAGAGUGCUCGGUUGCGACACCCCACAGGCCUAAACGGACUACCCACAGGCCUCAACCGCGCACCGAAUGGUCGACUCUCACCCGGCAGGAAGAUCUACAUAACGCUACUCUGGGGGACAACAGUAUACCAACAGGGGGCGUGGGCUAAGUGACUCUCGAGGUGGCCCAGCACAGUUGACUUUGCCAGUGUCUUCUUGUUUAUGGUUCUGCCUAUUGGAUAUCCCUAGAAAGCCUUGGGGCUGCACCCGACUACACUGCACCUGUCACCCGACGGAACACUGGCAGCUCGGUAUGAACUGUCUUCAUAUGGAAGCUUACAGCCCAGCUGGGUAUAGGUUGAAUGACUGUGCUGGCAUGCCAAGCUUGCUACCAUGACAGAUCACUUUUUUUUAGAUAGUGAUGCAUGGCAGUGUUGCCCACUUAUCUUUGCCACCAGUUGAAGUUUAAAAGUUUUUGCCUGCUCUGGCUUUUUCUCUCUUCUCACUACUUACUCUCACAUUCCUCUCACACUAAUUUAGCUGUGCAUUAGAUCUUCCAUGCCGUGAUACACUCGUGCUAGCCUACCACUAAAACUCUGUUUUAUGCAUUGCAUUUGUUCCCAUGAUAAAUAUUGAUUUAUAUACAGCAGUGAGUUGUUAGACUCACAUGUAUAGCCAUGCCUAUAACUAUAAUUCUAGGCGAACAUAGCCUGUAAACCAAUCUGACGCACAUACCCUAGCAACUAGUACUAUUAUCCUGUUAAUUUCUCAUAAAAAAAAAUGUGCUGUUCAUUCUUGCCAUGACAUUGUUUGCCUUCAAUGCCUGUGCUCGCUGUUGUGGCGCUACAGGUCUUUAUGUUAUAUAAUAUUAUGCACAUGAAAAAAAAAGAAUAAAAAAAAAAAAGGAAAGAAAGAUAUUUAUGACCCUCUUUGCAAGAAUGGUGUCUAUGUUCUAUCAAACCUGUCUUAUCUGCACUCAACCGUGUAUGUAUGUGUAUGUAUGUAUGUAUAUGUGUAUAUAUAUAUAUUUGUAGUCGGGGAUAUAAAGCCGUAAGUGUAGUCGUAGGUGAAGACUGAUAGUUGGUUGUGGUGUGCCUGAACCAACGAUCGGGUAGGCCUGAAAUAAUGAGGGCCCACCUAAAUAGUACUUGUUAAAAGGGUGUUGGUGGCUGGGGAGUCAGAAACGACCUGGGCCCUGAUUUAGAGGUAGGACUGAGUAUAAAUAGGCCGGUUAACCCCUCCCACAACUACAGGCUCCGCCUUCACAUUUGUAGUCGGGGAUAUAAAGCCGUAAGUGUAGUCGUAGGUGAAGACUGAUAGUUGGUUGUGGUGUGCCUGAACCAACGAUUGGGUAGGCCUGAAAUAAUGAGAGCAAAAAGGUUUCAAACAAAACACUUUAAUGAGCAAUUCUUUUAAAGCUUUCCUCAGUUCUUUCUCUGGCUGUGGAAUGUAUUUACCGUAAGCUGCUGAUUUCCACCUACCUAGUUUUUUAAUAAUGUGUGCGGGUACGUUAUUGCUGGAAGCGGCUGAACCGAUCCUAAAUGAAUGUCCUGAGAUGGACAUGGGGUCGUGUCCUAAUCUGACCGCCAAGGCCCUUACGUAGUGUAUAAAUUUAGCCGUGGUCAGAGGUUUGUCGGCAAUAGUGAGUAGGGGUGAGUAGCUUUGUUUGUCUGUGAGGUAAAGGCAGAAAGUAUCCAGGAUUGUCACCGGGCACCAUUUGUUAUGGGUCGGGAAGUACUGGAUUUCCGUAGGCGGUCCUACCAGAUUUGUUUUUGUACGUCUUAGGCGCAGUAUGUAAUGGUCCCCUAAUUUUUGCAGGUCCCUAAUUCUGACGUAACUUGUGUUGACUGAUAGAUUAUGUACCGUGAAUUCAUUGGGCCGUAAGAACCCGUAAAACGCUAUGUACAUAGCCGUCUUGAGUACGCUGUUAGUGCUAGGUUCGAAUGGGUUGGAAUCUAAUAGAUCUGAUAGAUCCUUGAAUUUAGUGCCGUCAAUUGGCUGUCUUUUGGCUGUUGGAGGGCCGUCAGUGCGGAGUAUUCCUUUAAGGACGUUUUUUAAGAGAUAGGAUGACAUGAAAGGUUUGUGAUCGGGGAAUAUGGUGAGUAAGUGGUGCUGAAUGCCCGUGAGGUAGAGUUUUAUGGUGUUAUGGGCAAGCUUGAGGUGUAGGUGGCAGUGCGCGGUAUAAGCAACAAUCGUGUCUAUGGAGAAGGUGUUGGUGAUAUGGUGUUCGGAAGUGAACCUGGAGAAAAUAGUAAGAACUCUGUCAUAGGACUUCUUGGUGUUAUCUGAUAGAGCAGCUUUAGCCAACGUUAGUGCAUGUUGUUUCAGGUUUAUCAGUCCAUUAUGAGGUCCUGAAAUACGGGGGUCGGCACAGGUAUGGCUACCGCCGUGGGAUGCUGUUCGAAAAAGGCCUGAAAGUUGGAACGAGAGAGAGCGUCAGCUGCAAUGUUUUCACGACCUGGUAUGUGCAUGCAAACCAAGUGGAAGUUGUGAGUUGCUGCCAGCCAUGUGAGUCUCCUCAUGAGUCUCAUGAUGACUAGGGAUGCGGAUCUGCCCUUGUUAAUGAUUUCACAUGUGGCUUCGUUGUCGGAGAGACAUUUGACUGCUUUGCCCUCCCACAACGGACCCCAAGUGUGUGCAGCUGCCACUAUUGGGUAAAGUUCGAAAAGUGAGGAUGUGGUGUUAAACGCCUGUAGUGUUGAUGUUUCAGAUGGCCAUGAACCCCGGAACCACUGGUCGUUGUAUAUGGCUGCAAAUCCUGUGUGGGCUGCUGAAUCGGUCCAUACGACCGGGGAAUCUACGUCAAGUGGGGGUAUGAACAUUGACCUCCCAUUCCAGGAGGAGAGAAAUGUGCCCCACAUGCGUAAGUCUGCUUUGGCGUUAACAUCGAUGAGUAUGUGGGUAUUGUCAUGGGGGGUCUCCGUUAGGAGGUGAAGUAGGCGUGAAAUGAACGACCGACCUUGCGGUAUGAUGCGGACCGCAAAGUUAAGUGAGCCCAAGAGUGACUGUAGCUCUUUGCGAGAGCAAACGUUUUUCUGCAUGAACCAUGAGAUUUCGUUAGUUAUGCGUGUUACCUUCUCAUCUCGGAGACUCGCUACCAUGGAUAUGGAAUCUAGAUGGAUGCCUAAGAAGGUCAGGGCUGUAGAAGGACCUAUUGUUUUUUCUACUGAAAGAGGGACCCCCAGUGUGGAGAAAAGAGCAGCCGUUUUGUCUAAGCUGUGGGGAGUGCGGUUAGGUUCCUCAACUGUGAGGAAGUCGUCCAGGUAGUGUAUUGCUACCGGGCAGCCACACACAUUUAGUAAUAACCAGCAAAGUGUUUCGGCGAAUGUGUCGAACAGUUUGGGACUGCUUUUGGCCCCAAACGUCAAAUGCGUGGCGAAGUAGUACUGGCCCUCCCAUGCCACAGGGAUGGGUGUAUGGGUAGCAAUUUGAAAGCGUUAGUGAUUUCGUUUUUUCCUAACCAGGCGCCUUUACCUGCUUUCAAGAUUGCCCCCAUUGCGUUAUCCACUGUGGCAUAUUGGAGUGAAAAUUCGCUAGAUGGAAUCAAUGAAUAAAUGCCAGGAACCACGGAUGAAUGAGGCGCUGAUAGGUCAAUAAGCAUGCGUUUUUUAUUAUUGAAUUUUUCAGUAGCAGUGCCAAUUGGGUUAGUUCUGAAACUGGCAUAUGGGGGGUGUGUGAAUGGGCCUAUCAUGAACCCAUGGUUGAUCUCUGCUGUAAGUAGUGCGUUCGAAGUGACGGGGUCUUGUAAGGCUGAUUGUAGGUUCCUACAUUCUAGGGUGCCUCCUGGUAUUGCCACUAGCCCUGUGUGGAAUCCUACCGUGAAGCCUGUUGUGAGGAACUCGACCACGUGAGGGGAGGGGUGAUUGGAAAGAUAAUAGGUGAGGUUGCCAACAUUAAUCUCCGUGAGUCAUUGUCUAGGGAACAGCCGAUUAGGGCACAUGGUCUUUGCGUGUGCCCUAAAGCAAAGGGAACAGACGUGCAACAAACAACAAGCGCUGAAGCUACAGCCCCCCGCAUUGAAGUUAUUGCAUACCUGUGCUUUGCCGAGGAAUACGAUGGGCCUGCCCAGUUUGUCUUUGAUGACCCUAUCUGAUUUGGGGGUGGGCUCUGUUUGGCUUGUGGAGGGUUGGCUCAGUUCGGAGGGACACAGAUUGGUGGAAUGUGCAGUGGACAUGCAAAUGGCACAGGACGGAGGCUUGAGGCCGGCGAAGUGGCGGCAGAACAGUUCCGUAUCCAGUUGGCUCCAGUCUGAGCGUAUGUUAAACUGGACCAGUGCUGCCGCCACCUUCGCCGAAAAUGACCUAUGAUAAUCAUAGAAAGAGUAGCCUCCGUACUUGUUGCCUAAGUCCACCAAUUUGUGGAGGUACAGGUCCAGCUCCUCUCUGCGUUGAGGGAAGACGGAACAAAUGAUAUCCCUGUACAAUCCAAAAGCAAUUACAAAAUCGGGGAUGGCCAGUUUCUUGUUAAGCCUGGGGUCCCUAGCCUUGAGUACUACAGAAACUUCCCCAUAGCAGUAAGCCUUGUUUUCUACCAAGUCUUGGGAUGCUAUGAGGAGUGAAACCAGGUUGACGUCUUUCCCCUCUAGGAUGUCUUUUUUAAUGGCUUGGGGCACUAAGUGGGCAGGCGUGAUGAUGUGUGUGGAGGCAGGUGCUGGGCCGGAAAAAGUGCUGUUACCCGGGUUAGGCAGUGACUGUGGCAGCAUGGUGGGAGCAUUUGCUGGGUUGAUCAAGGCCACUUGGUUCUCAAGUUUCUCCAGUCUCUCAUUGAUCAGAUUAACUGAAGAGAGAAGAGUGGACAUGGUGGCCUGAAGUCCAGGCGUGCUCCCGUCGAUAGCCUGUGUACUGGUGCCUGGUCGCGGGGUGUUGGGGUUAUUGUUCAGGAGGCGGUACAGUUCCGCUUUGCGGGCCGUGGCCGGGUAUGGUAUGCCUCGUCUUCUGAGCUCAGCUGCGAUCUUGGGUACGGUCCAGGAGCGUAGGGACGCUGGACUAGCCGUCUCUACCAGCUCCACUGGGGUACUUGGUCUGGUAGGGCUAGCGACCCUGGCUGGGGUGCUGGGUAGGGAGACAUCCUCGGCUAUGUCCGAAACGUGUGACAUUCUAUAACGUGAGUAAGUACAUAAAUUAGGGGAUGAUGGUUCGAAUAGGGUGAAUAUUAUAAUAGGAAUAAUUUAUCUCUUUAUGUAGGGAGUGAACUGCCUUGUAACGGGGGGAGGGNNNNNNNNNNNNNNNNNNNNNNNNNNNNNNNNNNNNNNNNNNNNNNNNNNNNNNNNNNNNNNNNNNNNNNNNNNNNNNNNNNNNNNNNNNNNNNNNNNNNUGCCAGAUAAAAAAUAUUUUUUUUUUGUUAGUGGGGGCUUUGAAGGAGGCACAACAUAUGGACUUGUCCCAAUGCACCACAUUAUCUUUCUACACUCCACAGCAUGAUUAUUGUUCUUUUAGGGUUGUGAUUGGAUAAAACAUCACCAGGUGAAGUUAGACCUCUUUAAAAUGGACGGGUCAGAACUAACAUUAAAGAAAGAAAGCAAAUGUAUACAUAGGAUUUCAGCAUAAUGAACAUAUGCCAAAUGCAAUGGUGCCAUUUAAUUUCCUUAUUCUAUCAAAUAGAAGUCAAUAAAUAAAUGAUCUUUGCUCUGGCUUCUAAUCAUAAUGCUUAGACUCUCUAAUCAUAUUACAAAGUAUUUAGUAUGAGAUGAAGGAACAGUAAUAUUUUUUUUCAUUUCAUUAUUUCUUUUAUGUACAUCCAUGAAGAUCUUGACACCAUCAAACAGGAAAGAAGGAUGGGGCUAGAUCACCUUAAGAAUAUCAUAAUACUUUCCAUUGGAUUUCUCCUUCUGGCUACCGCAUACGGAGGACUGCAAACUUUACAG
This 20106-nucleotide long non-coding RNA is filed under the name Pelobates cultripes (western spadefoot toad). The record is from RNAcentral. Lineage: Eukaryota; Metazoa; Chordata; Amphibia; Anura; Pelobatidae.